GUGCGAUUAUGGAGCGUUAUGUAAUUACGGAAAUGUUAACCAAUUUUAAAUUUCUUCCGAAAAUGGUGUCGUUAAGGGCUUUUUUUAAAAGUGCCGAGUUUGUCGCUUUUUAAUACAGCAUUUCAGGUUUUAUCUUGUGCGAAUGGACAAGUUAGUGAUUUUUUUCUGUUUGUAGUCUAAAUGGAACGUGUUACUUUUCAGCCCGGAUACCC
RNAcentral lists this long non-coding RNA (212 nucleotides) under Mytilus galloprovincialis (Mediterranean mussel). Lineage: Eukaryota; Metazoa; Mollusca; Bivalvia; Mytilida; Mytilidae. The record is from RNAcentral.